Molecule: ribosomal RNA, 492 nt
Filed under: uncultured bacterium
Lineage: Bacteria
Description: partial 16S ribosomal RNA
Rfam family: Bacterial small subunit ribosomal RNA
Source: RNAcentral
AGUGAACGCUGGCGGUAGGCCUAACACAUGCAAGUCGAACGGCAGCACAGUAAGAGCUUGCUCUUACGGGUGGCGAGUGGCGGACGGGUGAGGAAUACAUCGGAAUCUACUUUUUCGUGGGGGAUAACGUAGGGAAACUUACGCUAAUACCGCAUACGACCUACGGGUGAAAGCAGGGGAUCUUCGGACCUUGCGCGAUUGUAUGAGCCGAUGUCGGAUUAGCUAGUUGGCGGGGUAAAGGCCCACCAAGGCGACGAUCCGUAGCUGGUCUGAGAGGGUGAUCAGCCACACUGGAACUGAGACACGGUCCAGACUCCUACGGGAGGCAGCAGUGGGGAAUAUUGGGCAAUGGGCGCAAGCCUGAUCCAGCCAUACCGCGUGGGUGAAGAAGGCCUUCGGGUUGUAAAGCCCUUUUAUUGGGAAAGAAAAGCAGCAGGUUAAUACCCCGCUGUUCUGACGGUACCCAAAGAAUAAGCACCGGCUAACUUCGUG